Heterocephalus glaber (naked mole-rat) is the source of this 7266-nucleotide RNA transcript. It is a transcript of the gene named SMC5/6 complex localization factor 2, with no coding region annotated. The record is from RefSeq and is a predicted model, not a curated record. NCBI's taxonomy places the organism in Eukaryota, Metazoa, Chordata, Mammalia, Rodentia, Bathyergidae.
GCGAGUACUCCAGUGAGGCCCGCCCCUCUGGGCUCUCGGUCCUUCCCGCUCGCUCCGGUCACUUCCGAAGCGAGAGAACCGCCAUGAAGAGAGAAGCGGGUGCCGCCCACCUCUGCUCCGACAGCGUCCCCGAGUCCCAGCGGCACGACGGCAACCACGCACCCACGCUCUCCGUCCACAGCUCAUGCCGCCGUCGCCAGCGGCGCCGACAUGACAAGGCGCUGCAUGCCCGCUAGGCCAGGUUUCCCCUCGUCCCCAGCCCCGGGGUCGUCGCCCCCGCGCUGCCAUCUGAGACCCGAUGGUACCGCCCCUGCCGCUGCGGGAAAGACAGCAAAGAGUCCUGGGGACAGGAAGCAGUCAAUUAUAGAUUUCUUCAAACCGGCUUCAAAACAAGAGAGACAUAUGUUGGAUUCGCCACAAAAAACAAACAUCAAAUAUGGAGGAAGUGGAUUAUCCAUCACGGGGACAGAGCAGUUUCAAAGGAAACUAUCCUCACCAAAAAAAUCUAAACCCAAAAGAAUGCCAUCGGGAAAAAGCCCUAUUAUAGAAUCUUUGAUGAAAGGUGUUAAAGAGCAGCAUAAAGAUCGUGGUGUACACAAGUCCCGUCGGCCUUAUGUGUCACUGGUCUCUGAAUAUUUUUCAAAAGGAACAAAUUUCAGUGUUUCUCAUUCAUAUUAUUUGUCUAAAGAAAUGAAGGCCCUGAAGAAAAAACAUCGGUCUCCAGAGAGAAAGAAGUCACUGUUUAUUCAUGAAAAUAGCAGGGAGAAAAAUGAUGGAGAUGGAGGAAAGACUAAUGCGGACUCCAGAAAGCCAACCAUGGUGACAGAAGCUGACAUCUUCAAGAGCAGCUCUGCAAGUCUUAGUAGCAGGAGCAGUCUUUCCAGGCAUCACCCGGGAGAAAGCCCACUGGGAACUACUAGUUUUCAGAGGUCGCUAGCUUCAUAUUGCAAAGAACGAGAAUUAAAGAAGUUGAGAAAGGAGCAAAUGAAGCAGAAAAUCAACUCAGAAAAUUCCUUCUCAGAAGCGAGUAAUCUUUCUUUAAAAUCUGCCAGUCCAAGAAGAAAAUGUAAACCAAGGCAGGAACAUAGUAAACAGAGUGAUAUACCUGGAAAAAGUAAUCUUUCAAACUUGGAAAAUGGACAUCUUUCGAGAAAGAGAUCCUGUUCUGAUUCAUGGGAACCUGCUUCAGGCUCUAAGCAGAAUAAAUUCUCUGACAAAAGAAAAAGGAACUCUGUGGACUCAGAUCUCAAAAGCACAAGAGAAUCUAUGAUACCAAAAGCAAAAGAGCCUUUCCUUGAGAAGCGUCCUGAUGGAUCACAACAGAAAGAAAAAUUCAUAAGACAUAUUGCACUGAAGACACCUGGUGAUGUGCUGCGUUUAGAGGAUAUAUCCAUGGAAACGAGUGAUAAAAUUGGUUGCUCCUCUACAGGCUUGGCACCUUCAAAUUCUGGCCACCAUUCUCCCAGGAAUAGUGACCAAAUCCGUGCGGCAAGUACCAAAGAGACUAAGAUACAAAAACCCCAUCUGUCUUUACCUCAGGAAAAGUCUACAAGUAAAAAAGCUAGCACCCCUCAGAAAACGAAAAGUGCUAGCUCCGAGACGUUGAAAGAGACAAAGCCUCUGCCUUUACUUAACCGUGUUCCCAGUGCUGGUUCCUCUCAGGUGCCAUUAAACGCUCAAAAUUGCGCUCUCCCAGGUCCUGAGAAAGAGAAAGAGCGUUCCUCAUCUAAAGAUUGUUCUGGGCCUUCAGCAGUAUCCUCCAAGCACAGAGAACACAAAGCAAAGACUAAUAAGACUGAUUCUAAUACGCCUUCAGGGAAAAUUUCUGAGGGCUCUUUGUGUGCAGAAUAUGGCACUUCUACCAAGACUUCUCUGGAAGUUGUGCCAUGUAACCCAAGCCCUACAGCACCUCCAGAUAAAGCCCCUUCCGAUAAGGAGAGUUCAGGAAAUUCCAGUGCAGGUAGCAAUGCACUGAAAAGAAAAUUAAGGGGUGAUUUUGAUAGUGAUGAAGAAAGUUUAGGUUACAACCUAGACAGUGAUGAGGAAGAAGAACCAUUAGAAUCACUGGCAGAAAUAAUGGCCUUGAACUUCAGUCAGACUCCUACAACUUCAGCAAAGCCUCCUGCUCUUUCGAAGGGGCUUCCUUCUCAGUCACCAGACUACAAAGAGCAUGUUCAUAGUGGCACUUACACAAAUACUUUGGAGCGUCUAGUGAAGGAAAUGGAAGACACACAAAGGCUAGAUGAACUACAGAAGCAACUACAAGAAGACAUAAGGCAGGGUCGAGGCAUUAAAUCUCCAAUUAGAAUUGGAGAUCAAGACAGUACGGAUGAUGAGGAUGACCUCUUAGAAGAACACAGAGAAUUUCUAAAGAAAUUUUCAGUUACAAUUGAUGCUAUUCCUGAUCAUCACCCAGGUGAAGAAAUAUUUAAUUUCCUCAAUUCUGGAAAGAUUUUCAAUCAGUAUACAUUGGAUUUAAGAGACUCUGGUUUUAUCGGACAAAGUGCUGUAGAAAAGCUUAUUCUCAAAUCAGGAAAAACAGAUCAGAUUUUUUUGACAACACAAGGCUUCCUUACUUCUGCUUAUCAUUAUGUCCAGUGUCCUGUACCUGUGUUAAAGUGGUUGUUUCGGAUGAUGUCAGUUCAUACAGACUGUAUUGUGUCGGUGCAGAUUUUAAGUACGUUGAUGGAAAUAACAAUUAGAAAUGAUUCUUUCAGCGACUCAGCGGUUUGGCCCUGGAUACCGUCACUGUCUGACAUAGCAGCUGUGCUUCUCAAUCUAGGGAUUGGCUUUCGGUCUUUGUUUCCUCUGGAGAAUUUUCAGCCAGACUUUAAUGAAGACGAUCUAGUUUCUGAAACACAGAUGACACUGGGAGAAAAAGGAAGUGAAGAUUCAUCUUCUAAACCAAUUUUUUCAACUCUUCCUGAAUCCAAUAUCUUAAAUGUGGUUAAGUUCCUAGGCUUGUGUACAUCUAUACAUCCAGAGGGUUACCAAGACCGUGAGCUAAUGCUGCUGACCCUAAUGUUGUUCAAAAUGAGUUUGGAAAAACAGCUGAAACAGAUUCCUCUAGUGGACUUUCAGAGCCUCCUGAUAAACCUGAUGAAAAACCUCAGGGAUUGGAAUACAAAGAUGCCUGAACUCUGUCUGGGCAUAAAUGAACUCUCCAGUCAUCCUCACAACCUUCUGUGGUUGGUACAGCUGGUCCCCAACUGGACAUCACGUGGAAGGCAAUUGAGACAGUGCCUCAGUCUAGCAAUUAUUUCAAAGCUUCUGGAUGAGAAACAUGAAGAUGUCCCUAAUGCCAGUAAUCUUCAGAUAUCAAUCCUACAUCACUAUCUAGUGCAAAUGAAACCUUCUGACUUGUUAAAGAAAAUGGUCUUGAAGAAAAGGGCUGAACAACCAGAUGGCACUAUUGAUGACAGUCUUCACCUAGAACUUGAAAAGCAGGCCUAUUACCUGACCUACAUUCUUCUUCAUUUAGUUGGUGAAGUUAGUUGUUCCCAUUCUUUCUCUUCUGGACAACGGAAACACUUUGUGCUGCUCUGUGGGGCUCUGGAAAAGCAUGUGAAGUGUGAUAUUAGGGAAGAUGCAAGACUUUUUUACAGAACUAAAGUGAAAGACCUGGUUGCCAGGAUACAUGGAAAAUGGCAGGAAAUAAUCCAGAACUGUCGGCCUACUCAGGUGUCACUUUAUUAAACAGUGUUAUUUAUUCUUAAUAGUUUUACUAAAUAAAUGGGCCUAAUUAUAUGAAGAUAAACUGAAAACACCAAUAUAAUAUAUGGGGCAACUUCAUGACUUCUGGGUACCAGAUUCUUAACAGGAAUUGCAGCAGCAAAACGAAGAACCCAGAGAAAUCCCCUGGGAACCCGCCCAGGAGGAGUAAAAAGCAUUACUGUGGAAUCCAGUGGGUGUAAAGAAAAUCCAUAGCAGAUGUGCUGCUUGAAAACUGAAUGAGGCUGGUAAUGAAACUGCCAUUUCUGAAGUAGAUAGGAAAUGUUAUCUGCUUAGGUGUUAAGGCAGCUGGCCUUUUAAAGAGCAGAGCCUAAAGAGGAGGGAAGGGAUGGAAGCAGCUAGUAGUUACAUGUCUGAGCUGCCUGUACUGACCCUCUUGUUAUACUAUAAGCCAGUUAUCUUUCCUAGGUAGUAUUUGUGGCACCUGGAUAAUCACAGGAAAUGAAGAAAAGUUUGGACCAGCUUGAGGAAUUGGACAUUAGAAACCAAGACCAAGUUUCAAUUGGGUUUAAUUUUUAUUGGUUGUUUUAGGAUGCAAAGGGAAAGCUUGUUAACAAUUUACUAAUAAAAGCAUAGAUCUCUUCUGUAACUCCUAUAAACCACAGGUUCUAAUCCAUGCAGUCUGCUUUACUAUUUUAGGUUAUAGCUCAGUGGUUCCAGCGCCUGCCUCGCAAGCGCAAGGUCCCAACUUCGAUCGCCGGUACCAAAAAAUAAAAAGACAGUGGCUCUGUUUUUAAAAUACCAGAACAUUCAUAUGUAGUUUGUUUUGGAUUUCUUUUAAAUGCUUGUAUCUUUGGAAAUACUGGUUAAAUCUUAGAAUUCUGGCCCUUAAUAACAGUAUUACAGAAGUCUGUUAUAAAAGCUUAAAGACCUGGAAAUGUCUCCAAAUACUUUGUUGCUAUGAGUUUGUAACUCUGGUGGAGACCUGGAUCAAGUGUGUUUACUCUUUGGGACCUGAGGGGUUGUCUGCAAGCAUGUGUGCUGGUGCCUGGAGGUUGUUGCACUUGGAAACUAGAGCUGCUCUAAACUCUGAAACACUGGAAAGCCGUCCUCCAGAAGUGGUGAGGCCUGGAGUACACGAGUACACGUGCUGGCUUCCGCCCAAAGGCCCUUGGAGCCUGCCCUGGUCACAGACCACACUAACCAGUUGAAGGGUUCUUGUGGUGACUGAGGGUCCCCGAAGGAGGCAUUGUUUCCUGAAAGAGAGCACCAGCUUUUCUGUUACUGUUCUUUCUGUGUUGGCUCAGAGGACUUGCUCCAAGUGUUCUGAUGUCUUGUUGGUGGGAAGGAAAAUGAUGGGGGGUUGACGUUUAUGGUUUGAGAGGGGAGAAAAUAAACUUUGAGAGCGUUCUACCUCUGCACUGAGGUGUAGGAGUAAAACAUUUUUAUCUUCAGUCUAUCAUUUAUUAUAACACCAGUUGAUUUUUGGCCCUGGGGAUUUCGCUCAGUGGCGCCACACCUGCCUCGGAAGCACAAGGUCCUGAGUUCGAUCCCCGGUACCAAAAACAAUCAGUCAACUUGUGAGCUCAUGUCAAGCAUUGGGCAGUUAGUUUUUACAAGUAAAAUAAAUCCAGUUUCCAAAAACCCAGGCUGAGUGAGUCCCCAAGAGUCAGACCAACAAAAGUUUUAUUGUGUUGAGUUUACUGAUGAGCAUAUUUUGAUACUACCUCUCAAGGGUAUUGUUGCAAAAUGCCACUUAGGGUUAAAGAGAUAGAUACAGCCAGGUCUGGUGGCGCACACCAGUAACCCCAGCACUGUGGGAGGCUGAGGCAGGGGUCACAAGUUUGAGCCCAGCCUGGGUGACCUAGUGAGACCCUGUCUCAGAAUAAACACUUUAAAAGGGGCUGGGGAUGUGGUUCAGUGCAAAGGCCCUGGGUUCAAUUCCCAGUACCACCAAAAAAAAGAAAAAGAAAAAAGAGAGAAAUGCAAAGAGUUGUAUUUGACAGAAGCUUGAGACUCUCAUCUAUCUGCCCAACAGUGGGGUUUUCACUCUGUAAUUUAAUAAUUUGUAGAUAACAUUAUUUGUGUGUAAUUUUGUAAGUGUUCAUAUAUUUUUCAUUUUGCUUUGUGUAAAGUGUACAAAAUUUCAAAGUAUAAAAUACUGCUUAUACUGCUUGUAAUACAGUGUGUAAAUAUUUUCUAGUAGUGUACAUUGACGGGGCAAGUGGGUUAUUCAGGUUUUUUUAGUGACCCUUUUGUAUUGCAGUUUCAACAGAUGACUGCCCAUCAAAUUUAAAACCACUUUGAUAUAUUUUUAUUUAGCAGUUCCAGUAAGAAUAAUCUAUUUUUAAUUGUCUUUCUCCAUUAAAGCAAAGCGCUUCAUCUGUUCUUUUAAAGUGGAGCCGGACGUCAGUGUAGGCCUGGCCUCUACUCGCAGGAGGCAGUUGGUUCUGUCUUUGGGUUCUCGUAGAAAUGUGAGAUUCUCCUCUUGAAGCACAAGUAGCCCCUAGUUUUCCUCCCAAGUCAGGUGUUUUCCUCUCCCUCUUGGGUCCCCAGGCCUGUCUCCCUCCUGCUGGUGCCCAGGGAGUGGGGGAGAGCGGGAGAAACAUGCGCUGCAGUGCCAGGCGCCUUGGGGCUCGGCCACAGCUUGCACGGGGGCACCUGGUCUCACCGCCUGCACACGUGUGUGAGCCUGCCGGCCCCAUGCAAGCAGAAGAUUAAGGUACUUGUGUUUUUGUUUUUGUGUGUACCUGUUUGCCUUUUCUAGCCUUUCCUUGUUCUCUGAAAAGAAUUCUGUUAGUUACAUUAAGUGAAGAGGCUCUCCAUAUACAAAAUGCAUCUGUGUCGCAGUAAAGUAACAGUAUUUGUACAUUUGCUGUCUGUUCCCUGAUGGCAGUGGUUGGUGCCUUUGUCAGCUUUUAGAAGGUUGGCGUUUUGUUUUGUUUUGAAACACAAGCAGUAGCUUUGCUUUGACUUCACAAAAAUUUCCCCAGAUGUAAAAGAUAAAUAAUGAAGUGUUAUCUUCCAGCUUCAGUUAGACUGUUUGUAUUUUUAUAUUUAUCAAAACAGAUACAGUUGUUGGGGACCGGCCAGUGAUAAUGUAUGGAGUCCUGAAGCCAAGAGUAACCUUUACAUUUAAAAAUUAGAAUUUUAAGAAAUGCCAGGCGUGGUGGUGCACACCUGUGAUUCCAGCAUCCAGGAGGCUGAGGCAGGAAGGUCAAGGCCUGCCUGGACUACAUAUAGCGAGAUUUGUCUCCAAAAACCAAAAGAAUUUUAAGAAAUGACCACUGACAAGCAACUGAGUUGGCAAAACAGGAGAUGACAUCCUGGUGUGUCCGGGCGGCACGUGGAGCAGUUAGCGUGAUGGUGGCAGUGACUUCCUGUCAGUCAGCAGUGUGCUGCACCAUGCUCGCACGCGUGUGUUUGCUCCCCGGUGUUUGCUUCCUGUCAGCGGGUCAGUCCCCCGGCUGCCAGGCAGUAAGUGCAGAUUUCUCUUUCCUUUUGCUUUUCUUUUUUAAGGUUUUUAUACUACAUCUUGUUAAACUCCUAAGAAUGUAUGUGUGUGUUAUUAAAACUGCUUUUUCUCAGUUGGAA